RNAcentral lists this ribosomal RNA (491 nucleotides) under uncultured bacterium. RNAcentral's name for it is "partial 16S ribosomal RNA". It matches the Rfam family "Bacterial small subunit ribosomal RNA", at positions 29 to 507 of the family's 1533-position model. The record is from RNAcentral.
AGUGAACGCUGGCGGUAGGCCUAACACAUGCAAGUCGAACGGCAGCACAGUAAGAGCUUGCUCUUACGGGUGGCGAGUGGCGGACGGGUGAGGAAUACAUCGGAAUCUACUUUUUCGUGGGGGAUAACGUAGGGAAACUUACGCUAAUACCGCAUACGACCUACGGGUGAAAGCAGGGGAUCUUCGGACCUUGCGCGAUUGAAUGAGCCGAUGUCGGAUUAGCUAGUUGGCGGGGUAAAGGCCCACCAAGGCGACGAUCCGUAGCUGGUCUGAGAGGAUGAUCAGCCACACUGAACUGAGACACGGUCCAGACUCCUACGGGAGGCAGCAGUGGGGAAUAUUGGACAAUGGGCGCAAGCCUGAUCCAGCCAUACCGCGUGGGUGAAGAAGGCCUUCGGGUUGUAAAGCCCUUUUGUUGGGAAAGAAAAGUAGCAGGUUAAUACCCCGCUGUUCUGACGGUACCCAAAGAAUAAGCACCGGCUAACUUCGUG